Molecule: ribosomal RNA, 253 nt
Filed under: uncultured bacterium
Lineage: Bacteria
Description: partial 16S ribosomal RNA
Rfam family: Bacterial small subunit ribosomal RNA
Source: RNAcentral
UACGAAGGGGGCUAGCGUUGUUCGGAAUCACUGGGCGUAAAGCGCACGCAGGCGGACUGAUAAGUCAGGGGUGAAAUCCCGGGGCUCAACCUCGGAACUGCCUUUGAUACUGCCAGUCUAGAGUCCGGGAGAGGUGAGUGGAAUUCCUAGUGUAGAGGUGAAAUUCGUAGAUAUUAGGAAGAACACCAGUGGCGAAGGCGACUCACUGGCCCGGUACUGACGCUCAGGUGCGAAAGCGUGGGUAGCAAACAGG